Non-coding RNA from Potamilus streckersoni, 68 nucleotides. Lineage: Eukaryota; Metazoa; Mollusca; Bivalvia; Unionida; Unionidae. The record is from the annotation of a GenBank genome assembly.
GAUGGCAUAAUGGUUAGAGCGUCCGCCUCCGAUGCGGGAGGUCGUGGGUUCGAAAGCCGGCCAAGUCA